This 181-nucleotide transfer RNA is filed under the name archaeon. RNAcentral describes it as "tRNA-Gly". The record is from RNAcentral.
GCGCCCGUGGUCUAGAGGUAUCUUGGCUUGGAUUCCAUCUAAGUCGGUCUCCAGAGGACCCAAGCUUCCCAAGCUUGUGGCACGGGUUCGAUACAGACCCUUUAGAAAAGUGUCUUUACUCCCAAAAACUUGGAAACGCUUUGCGUUCCCCAGAGAGGAGAAAAUCCCGUCGGGCGCACCA